RNAcentral lists this unclassified non-coding RNA (219 nucleotides) under Hevea brasiliensis (rubber tree). The record is from RNAcentral. Lineage: Eukaryota; Viridiplantae; Streptophyta; Magnoliopsida; Malpighiales; Euphorbiaceae.
AGCCAAACUGGUUCUCUGAUUCCUUAGUAGUGUGUUUAAGUUUGCAUUCAAUUACUCUUUCUUACAUUUUCAUUGUGACUCAUCAGUUUAAUGUGCAGAUAGUUAGAUCAUUUUCAAAUUGGUGGAAAAAAAUUGAAUAAAACCCUAAAGGAUGUAGCUUGGGUUUUGGACUAAAUUCAUUAUCCUUCUAGUGGUAUUAUGGAAGCUAAAGCUAAAUGU